AUUGAACGCUGGCGGCAGGCUUAACACAUGCAAGUCGAGCGAGCGGCGGACGGGUGAGUAAUGUCUGGGAAACUGCCUGAUGGAGGGGGAUAACUACUGGAAACGGUCGCUAAUACCGCAUACCAUCCGAUUUGCCCAGAUGUGAUUCGCUAGUAGGUGGGGUAAUGGCUCACCUAGGCGACGAUCCCUAGCUGGUCUGAGAGGAUGACCAGCCACACUGGAACUGGGAAACGGGCCAGACUCCAAGGGGAGGCAGCAGUGGGGAAUAUGGCACAAUGGGCGCAGGCCUGAUGAAGCAAUGCCGCGUGGGGGAAGAAGGCCUUCGGGUUGUAAAGCACUUUCAGCGAGGAGGCGUUACCCGCAGAAGAAGCACCGGCUAACUCCGUGCCAGCAGCCGCGGUAAUAC
Molecule: ribosomal RNA, 406 nt
Filed under: uncultured bacterium
Lineage: Bacteria
Description: partial 16S ribosomal RNA
Rfam family: Bacterial small subunit ribosomal RNA
Source: RNAcentral